AUGACGAAUAUGGUUCACAUCGAUGAGAAGUGGUUCGACAUGACGAGAGUGAAGAAUAGUUACUAUGUACUUCCAGGAGAACCUGAACCGAAGCGCACCAUGUCAAACACUCACAGCAUUGGGAAGGUAAUGUUCCUAACAGCUGUUGCUAGGCCUCGAUAUAACAAUGAGGAGGAGCUAACAUUCGAUGGGAAGAUCGGCAUUUGGGCAUUCGUCGAAGAGACUGAGGCGAAGCGGACAAGUCAGAACAGAACAAAGGGAACAAAAGUGUUGACAUCAGUGAAAGUAACCAGGCCUGUGUGCAGAGAUUAUCUAAUCAAUAAGGUUAUCCCGGCAAUUCAGGAUAAGUGGCCUGACGAUGAUGAGGGAGCAACAAUAUUCAUCCAACAGGAUAACGCAAAGCCUCAUGUCCUUCCCAAUGAUGUAGCUUUUCGAGAAGCUGUGGAACAAACUGAUCUUGACAUCCGAUUGCUACAACAGCCCCCAAAUAGCCCUGAGUUAAAUUUUCUGGACCUAUGCUUCCAUAACUCACUCCAGUCUCUAACCGACUGCAGGUCACCUACAAACAUCCAGGAACUGGUACAGGGUGUGGAAGAGGAAUUCGAGAACUACGAUCCCGACAAGUUGCACAGAAGCUUUAUCACAUUAGAAGCAGUUAUGUUUGAAGUUAUUAAGGACAAAGGAGGAAAUCAAUUUAAGUUGCCCCACUUGCACAAGGAUCGCUUUCAGAAUGCUGGACUAGAAAUAACCAGUGUAUAUUGCGAUAGUCGGGUAGUUGUUGAUACUAGGGUCAUUAUAGAAGAAAUGGAAAUUGCAAUAGGAAAAGAAAAUGAAAGGAAAGAAUUAGCUAGAGAAGGGAAAAGAAAGAAAAUAGCUAGGUAUUGUAGAUAUGAUAGCUGCAGUUUCAGAACAAAGGAGAAGGAAAAAGGCUUCUUCCAUGCCACUUAUCUGAAGAAGCAACACGAGCACUUACAGGACAAAGAAAAGAGACAGAGCACAAGGGAACAGAGACAGAACCAUGGUGGUCAGCAAGCAAGCACGCACGCACCUCUCCUGCAUCCAUCCCAAUGCACUGGGUGUCAAUGGCGCCCGCGAGCUCCAUCCCCCUCGUUCCCGAUCCCCACUCUCCCUCUCCCCGAGCGCGUCGCCCCUGCAGCCUCCCGUCGCCCGCCUCCGUUCGGCUCCCUCGCUGCGGCCUUGCCGGAUGUCGGCGACCUCGAGCGCCGCCCUCCUCCCUUCCGCGCCGUGCCUCCCCGCGCUACCACCGGAGGGGCCAACUCCGGCGGCCCCGGCGCCCGCGCCAAGCUGCCGUCAGGUCCCGCGUCGCCAUCCAAGACCCCGCCGGCCUCCCCUGCUUCUAUUGCACGGGAACGACGCAUCGAGCGCCCGCCUACAGCCAAGCCGCCAAGGCCCUGCUCUGCCGUCCGCCACUCCGUCGACCCUGCCUCCAUGGCCUUGCUGCCGCUGCCAUCCCUCAACUCCUUCUCCAGCGAGCCCCGUGGCCGGUCUGCAUCGCCCUUGCCGGACUCCAUCCUUGCUCCGCUGCCACCACGCUCGACCCCAAGACAUGAGGUUGUUGGUGGUGGUCCGGAUCCAGCGCCUCCGGGCUCGCCGACGCCGGUUCUGACACAGCCGGAGCAGAGCGCGGCGGUAGCUGGGGAAAUCGAACAUUUUUAUGACGAAGGGGGGAGCUUGGGGAGGCAGGCGAGUGGCAGCUGCGGCGGUGGAGCAGGAGGCAGCUGCAGCAGGGGAGCGGGGAGCGGGGGAGCUGCGGCGGCGGGGACAGGGCAGCUGCGGCGGCGUGGAGGAGCGAAGCUACGGCGGCGGGGAGCAGCGGAGCUGGGGAUUCUGUCGGAGGAGCAAGACGAGGAGCGCGGGUUCGGUCGGGAGAAACUGGAGGGCUUUUUUGCAAAACUGCCCUCGCGACAUAUUUUUCGGGACGGAGGGAGUAGUGGGUUUACGCGUGGCCACGGGAGAAAGGUCCUGUCCUCUCUCUCCGGGGACUUCGACGGCGAAGAAGAAGAAAAGGAAGAAGAAGAGCGACGCAGCGAGCACCUGCCUGCCUGCGGCGGCCAGGCGCUAGGGGAGCUGCGUCCAAGGCUCUGA
Molecule: ribosomal RNA, 2106 nt
Filed under: Triticum aestivum (bread wheat)
Lineage: Eukaryota; Viridiplantae; Streptophyta; Magnoliopsida; Poales; Poaceae
Description: partial small subunit ribosomal RNA
Source: RNAcentral